This 458-nucleotide ribosomal RNA is filed under the name uncultured bacterium. RNAcentral's name for it is "bacterial SSU rRNA". It matches the Rfam family "Bacterial small subunit ribosomal RNA", at positions 65 to 518 of the family's 1533-position model. The record is from RNAcentral.
AGCGGGAUGUAGCAAUACAGUUGCCGGCGACCGGCGGAUGGGUGCGUAACGCGUAUGCAACCUACCUUAUACAGGGGAAUAACCUUUCGAAAGGGAGACCUAACACCCCAUGGUAUUGAUUUAAGGCAGUCUUAGAUUAAUUAAAUAUUUAUAGGUAUAAGGAUGGGCAUGCGUAUGAUUAGCUAGUUGGUAAGGUAACGGCUUACCAAGGCGACGAUCAUUAGGGGUCUGAGAGGAAGGUCCCCCACACUGGUACUGAGACACGGACCAGACUCCUACGGGAGGCAGCAGUGAGGAAUAUUGGUCAAUGGGCGCAAGCCUGAACCAGCCAUGCCGCGUGCCAGGAAGACGGCCUUAUGGGUUGUAAACUGCUUUUACAUAAGACUAACCGUAUAUUUGCGAAUAUACCUGAAUGUAUUAUGAGAAUAAGGAUCGGCUAACUCCGUGCCAGCAGCCGC